This 451-nucleotide ribosomal RNA is filed under the name uncultured bacterium. Its description in RNAcentral is "partial 16S ribosomal RNA". It matches the Rfam family "Bacterial small subunit ribosomal RNA", at positions 29 to 523 of the family's 1533-position model. The record is from RNAcentral.
AGCGAACGCUGGCGGCAGGCUUAACACAUGCAAGUCGAGCGGGCAUAGCAAUAUGUCAGCGGCAGACGGGUGAGUAACGCGUGGGAACGUACCUUUUGGUUCGGAACAACACAGGGAAACUUGUGCUAAUACCGGAUAAGCCCUUACGGGGAAAGAUUUAUCGCCGAAAGAUCGGCCCGCGUCUGAUUAGCUAGUUGGUGAGGUAAUGGCUCACCAAGGCGACGAUCAGUAGCUGGUCUGAGAGGAUGAUCAGCCACAUUGGGACUGGGACACGGCCCAAACUCCUACGGGAGGCAGCAGUGGGGAAUAUUGGACAAUGGGCGCAAGCCUGAUCCAGCCAUGCCGCGUGAGUGAUGAAGGCCCUAGGGUUGUAAAGCUCUUUUGUGCGGGAAGAUAAUGACGGUACCGCAAGAAUAAGCCCCGGCUAACUUCGUGCCAGCCGCCGCGGUAA